This 904-nucleotide ribosomal RNA is filed under the name uncultured bacterium. RNAcentral describes it as "bacterial SSU rRNA". It matches the Rfam family "Bacterial small subunit ribosomal RNA", at positions 487 to 1397 of the family's 1533-position model. The record is from RNAcentral.
AAAGCCCCGGCUAAAUACGUGCCAGCAGCCGCGGUAAUACGUAUGGGGCAAGCGUUAUCCGGAAUUAUUGGGCGUAAAGAGUGCGUAGGUGGUUACCUAAGCGCAAGGUUUAAUCUUGAGGCUCAACCUCAUUCUGCCUUGCGAACUGGGCUACUUGAGUGCAGGAGGGGAAAGCGGAAUUCCCAGUGUAGCGGUGAAAUGCGUAGAUAUUGGGAAGAACACCGGUGGCGAAGGCGGCUUUCUGGACUGUAACUGACACUGAGGCACGAAAGCGUGGGGAGCAAACAGGAUUAGAUACCCUGGUAGUCCACGCCGUAAACGAUGAGCACUAGUUGUUGGGUACGAAUGUAUUCAGUGACGCAGUUAACGCAAUAAGUGCUCCGCCUGGGGAGUACGGUGGCAACACUAAAACUCAAAGGAAUUGACGGGGACCCGCACAAGCAGCGGAGCAUGUGGUUUAAUUCGAAGCAACGCGAAAAACCUUACCAGGGCUUGACAUCCCUCUGACCGGAUCUUAACCGAUCCUUUCUUCGGACAGAGGUGACAGGUGGUGCAUGGUUGUCGUCAGCUCGUGUCGUGAGAUGUUGGGUUAAGUCCCGCAACGAGCGCAACCCUUGUCGUCAGUUACUAACAUUCGGUUGAGGACUCUGACGAGACUGCCGAGGUCAACUCGGAGGAAGGUGGGGAUGACGUCAAAUCAUCAUGCCCCUUAUGUUCUGGGCUACACACGUGCUACAAUGGUCGGUACAAUGAGACGCAAUACAGUGAUGUGGAGCAAAUCACCAAAACCGAUCCCAGUUCGGAUUGCAGGCUGCAACUCGCCUGCAUGAAGUCGGAGUUGCUAGUAAUCGCGAAUCAGCAUGUCGCGGUGAAUGCGUUCCCGGGUCUUGUACUCACCGCCCGU